Long non-coding RNA from Lontra canadensis (Northern American river otter), 790 nucleotides. RefSeq lists it as uncharacterized. Lineage: Eukaryota; Metazoa; Chordata; Mammalia; Carnivora; Mustelidae. The transcript is spliced from 3 exons. The record is from RefSeq and is a predicted model, not a curated record.
CUUUAUCAUAUCUCCACAGUCUCUUUUGUCAUGAAUAGUGCAGUCUUCUUGAACAUUUAAAGUGAUUCUGAUUGAACUAUAGGAUUGAUUUUGCAAGUAGGACAAGACAGCUCAUUGGAGGAGCCAUCUGAAAGAGAACACACUGAAAUUAAGCAAAGAAAAUUGCCUGGUGAUCCAUUUGGUUUGGCAGGUUGUGAUUGGUGUCUUCACAGAAGAUCUUCAGUCACAUACUGAGAACUCUAAUUAAGAGAGUUAUCUCCAUUUGUGCUGGCUUGAGGGGGUACUUCAAUCAAGUAGAACCUGUUGAAGUGUGAAUAGGAAGAGCAGGGGAAGUCAGAGUGUCAUCGGGAGAAGUGAGUUGGCUGUCGACCAAGAGACAUCACAAGUCAGCUUUACUCUGGCAAAAUGUCCUCAACCCAGUAUGGAGACUUGAGGAAGAAAUCAGCUUUUUGCCUACACACUGGACCUGAAUCUGUUUAUCAGAGGUAGACUGACUUAACCAGGGCUCUUAGAGGCUGAUAUCAAAGUUCAAAUGUCAAUUUAUUAUUUCGCAGUAAGAAAUACUACAUACUUCUGUCCUGAUUAAUAUACUUGCAUUCUUGAGAUGGAUUUGCAUUAGAAGCUGAAAUAUUUUUCAAGAAUUGCUUGGUAGACAUGAAAUCUGAAAUAAGGAGGUUUUUAAUGAUAAUAGCUUCUGAUAAUCUGACACAUCUAUCUCUUCAGUAGAAUAUUCUGUCUCUAGGACCAAAGAGAUCAUACAUCUCAUUACACUACAUGAAUAAUACUAGAA